CGUCUUCAGGGCAGGGUGAAAUUCCCGACCGGCGGUAUAGUCCGCGAGCCUUCGGGCCGAUCCGGUGUGACUCCGGAACCGACAGUAAAGUCUGGAUGGAAGAAGACG
Molecule: non-coding RNA, 108 nt
Filed under: bovine gut metagenome
Also listed under: 1 other name
Description: FMN riboswitch (RFN element)
Rfam family: FMN riboswitch aptamer (RFN element)
About the family: The RFN element is a highly conserved domain that is found frequently in the 5'-untranslated regions of prokaryotic mRNAs that encode for flavin mononucleotide (FMN) biosynthesis and transport proteins. This element is a metabolite-dependent riboswitch that directly binds FMN in the absence of proteins. In Bacillus subtilis, the riboswitch most likely controls gene expression by causing premature transcription termination within the 5' untranslated region of the ribDEAHT operon and precluding access to the ribosome-binding site of ypaA mRNA.
Source: RNAcentral